RNAcentral lists this long non-coding RNA (934 nucleotides) under Marmota monax (woodchuck). The record is from RNAcentral. Lineage: Eukaryota; Metazoa; Chordata; Mammalia; Rodentia; Sciuridae.
UGAGGAGAAGCAGAAUGUCAUGGUAGAAUGGUGUGGCAGAAGAAAGCAGGUUGGGACGUGGCCACCAAAAAGCAGCGACAGAGACUCCACUCAACAGGAAUAAAAUAUGUACCCCAAAGGCACAACCCCCAGGAGCCGCCUCCUCCAGCCACUCCCCACCUGCCUACAGUUACCACCCAGUUAAUCCCUAUUAGGGGAUUCAUGCACUGCUUAGGUUCAGAUUCUUAUAACCUAAUCAUCUCACUUCCAAACUUUCUUGCACUGUCUCCCACAUGAGCUUUCGGGGGACACCUAACAUCUAAACCAUAACUGAAGUGAACUUCCAUUAAGGCAGUUUCUUGCAAAGAGAUCUGGGCUAACAUUUUAGAGAUUGUAAAGUCCAAGCAUUCACCAAUGAACAAUUAAUAUAAACUACAGCCAUGCUUCCUGGGAAUGUUCUCAGUCCAGCAUAAAUAAUUUCUCCAGUGAGUCACAUGUCUGCCAUCUUCCUUCCCAUUUCCUAUUGUUGAUUUCAAGAAAGAGGUAAAUAGAUGUUCCAUGGAGUUUUCGGCAUGUAGGUUGCUAAGGCCAGAAAUGAAGAAACACUGUGGGAAGUCUAAUCCUUUUGUGUGGAGAACUUCAGAGAGGCCCCGUUGGCAGUUUUCAGAAGAAAAGUUACAAAGAGAUGAGAAAAAUUAGAGCAGCCAGCAAGGGCAGGUGGGAGGUGUGGGGAGUACCUCUCAGGUGAGUGGAGCAGAAGUCACAUCAUAUAGGAAGACAAAGGGAAGUGUGGUUCUAGAGAUGCCACGCAGGUGGAACGCAUUUCAUUUGUGGCAUAUAAGGAUGAUGUCAAAUGGCGUCUCUGCAUCCUGAAGAUAAAGCCAGUGGUUCGGGCCAUUAAAAGUCUGGUUCUCCGAAUGUCCAGAAUAAAGAAGGAGUUUAGGGUGGACAUACC